Molecule: long non-coding RNA, 323 nt
Filed under: Elaeis guineensis (African oil palm)
Lineage: Eukaryota; Viridiplantae; Streptophyta; Magnoliopsida; Arecales; Arecaceae
Description: long non-coding RNA (EGUI_LNC052600)
Source: RNAcentral
AUAAACCAAUUGGACUUGAUCCAAUCAAGUCCAAAUUAAAUUUAAUUAAAUUAUAUUUAAUUAGACUUAAUCUCAGCCCAUUGGCUUAAUCAAAUUAAGCCAAUUAGUAAUCGAAUUGCUAAUCGAUCCUCCUGCAACACUUGCACUGGGUUAAAUGUCAAUCGUAUUGAUCAUUUAACCCUAGAAUGAUUCUUAAUCAUUGAUCAACCAUCCAAUCAGAUCAUGAACUCUAAUGUGUGUGAUCUCAUAGGUCUGAACCUAAGUCGAUAGUAUAGGAAUAAAUUUCUAUACCAAUCAAAGUGACCAUCUAGUAAUGGUACCCG